AUACGUAGGGUGCGAGCGUUAAUCGGAAUUACUGGGCGUAAAGCGUGCGCAGGCGGUUCUGUAAGACAGGCGUGAAAUCCCCGGGCUCAACCUGGGAACUGCGCUUGUGACUGCGAGACUAGAGUACGGCAGAGGGGGGUGGAAUUCCACGUGUAGCAGUGAAAUGCGUAGAGAUGUGGAGGAACACCAAUGGCGAAGGCAGCCCCCUGGGUCGAUACUGACGCUCAUGCACGAAAGCGUGGGGAGC
Molecule: ribosomal RNA, 247 nt
Filed under: uncultured bacterium
Lineage: Bacteria
Description: partial 16S ribosomal RNA
Rfam family: Bacterial small subunit ribosomal RNA
Source: RNAcentral